UUCCAUUAUCUGCAACUGCAGCUAAUAGAAAUUAGUAAGAGUUAUUAGGUACCAAUGAACACUGGGCUUUGGGUGAAAAUUAUAAGCUUUUAUAUCUAGCUGAUGGGCCUUGUACCUAAUAGUAUUUGGCUUGGUUUUUUAGAGUGAUUUCCAUCUCAUGCCUGUUGCUUUUGUACCAUUCAUUUUAUGUAUUUUUAAUUGUUUAAAGAAGAGCUGCUCGGGUUUUAUAAGUGGUGUUUUUCUCCUUCUUUUAGGUCUCUCUGCAAUGCAAUCAAUGUUUACAACCUCACCUGCAAUAACUGUUCAGAAAACUGCACUGAUGUUCUGUUUAGUAACAAGAUUACCUUCUUAAUGGACCUCCUGAUACACCAGUUGACGGUUUAUGUUCCAGAUGAAAAUAAUACUGUUUUGGGAAGAAAUACAAAUAAACAAGUUUUUGAGGGCUUGACAACGGGACUUCUCAAAGUCAGUGCUGUGGUUUUGGGCUGCCUGAUUGCCAGUCGACCAGAUGGAAACUGCCAGCCAGCUACCCCCAAAAUACCAACACAGGAAAUGAAAAACAAACCCUCACAAGGUGAUGCUUUUAACAAUCGAGUUCAGGACCUUAUCAGCUACGUGGUGAACAUGGGUCUGAUUGACAAACUGUGUGCCUGCUUCCUCUCGGUGCAAGGCCCAGUGGAUGAGAAUCCCAAGAUGGCCACAUUUCUGCAGCAUGCCACAGGACUCUUACAUGCAAUGUGCACAUUGUGCUUUGCUGUCACUGGAAGGUCAUACAGCAUAUUUGACAAUAAUCGCCAGGAUCCCACAGGGCUGACAGCUGCUCUUCAGGCAACCGACCUGGCUGGAGUUCUUCAUAUGCUCUACUGUGUCCUCUUCCAUGGCACCAUCUUGGACCCUAGCACUGCCAGUCCCAAGGAAAAUUACACCCAAAAUACCAUCCAAGUAGCCAUUCAGAGUUUACGUUUCUUCAACAGCUUUGCAGCUCUUCAUCUGCCUGCUUUUCAGUCUAUUGUAGGGGCAGAGGGCUUGUCCCUUGCAUUCCGGCACAUGGCCAGCUCCCUGCUGGGCCACUGCAGCCAAGUCUCCUGUGAAAGCCUCCUUCAUGAGGUCAUCGUCUGUGUGGGCUACUUCACUGUUAACCACCCAGAUAACCAGGUAAUAGUGCAGUCCGGCCGCCACCCCACAGUGCUGCAGAAGCUCUGCCAGUUGCCCUUCCAGUAUUUCAGUGACCCACGGCUGAUCAAAGUACUGUUCCCUUCACUUAUCGCUGCUUGUUACAACAACCAUCAGAACAAGAUCAUUCUGGAGCAAGAGAUGAGCUGUGUUUUACUGGCCACUUUCAUUCAGGAUUUGGCACAGACUCCAGGUCAAGCAGAAAACCAGCCUUACCAGCCCAAAGGGAAAUGCCUUGGUUCCCAAGACUAUCUUGAGCUGGCUAACAGAUUUCCUCAGCAGGCCUGGGAAGAAGCUCGACAGUUUUUCUUGAAAAAAGAGAAAAAAUAAAUAAAUGUUUUGGUUGAUUCUGUAUUUGAGUACCCUUGUUAAUAUUUUAAAUUGUUCAAACAAACAUUCUAAUUGUUCCUUAAGAACUCAUUUUCACAUGUUUAUACUCUCCCCACACUGUAGAUAUGGCAUGUACUUUACACUAUUUAUGACUGUAGAUACUUGAAUGUUCUACUUGCUAAUUUUGCAAGUUGAGUGUAUUUCAUUUAUGCAAAAUAUCUUGGAGUUUGAUAACUUCCAUCUAAUGAUAAUAUAUACUUUGCAUUUGUAAUAUUGGUGAAAGUAGACAUAAAAUUAGCAAGUCUGUUUUGUUCUUGUAAUAAAAUAACUUAUUCUGUUUUCAUUGUUGACUUUUCAUGUUAAGGAAAUACAAAUCUGAAAGAAAAAUGUUAACUCCACCCCUUGAAGUAUCUUAAAUAAAGACUUAAUUAAAGUUUACCUGCU
This 1947-nucleotide long non-coding RNA is filed under the name Rhinopithecus bieti (black snub-nosed monkey). RNAcentral describes it as "lncRNA (ENSRBIG00000045026.1)". The record is from RNAcentral. Lineage: Eukaryota; Metazoa; Chordata; Mammalia; Primates; Cercopithecidae.